This is a long non-coding RNA of Cyprinus carpio carpio, 1033 nucleotides long. Lineage: Eukaryota; Metazoa; Chordata; Actinopteri; Cypriniformes; Cyprinidae. The record is from Ensembl.
UAAAGAGGUAUUUUGCCCAGGGUUACGCCACAGUGGUUACCAUUGGUUAAGUUUAGAGCCAGGGUGGGUAUAGCCACCGGGGUUACUAACGGGUAGGUUUAGAGUUAGGUUAGGGUUAGGAUUAGAAAAAAUCCAAGAGCUGAUGCACAGUCCAGCUCUGGUAAUGCACAGUCCUUCAAUACUCCUUCUGGCCGCUCUCCUGCCUCGGCCAAGGCCUGCCCCCACGGCCUAGGCCCACUACUUCACCACCAAUAUAUUUGGUCUUUUUAACGUUGAAUCACAGAUAGUGAGAUUUUUAAACGUAUGGACGAGUAUUGUUUUCAAUAAUAAAUGUUGUUUUUAUAUUAAGGUUUUUAUAGUAUUUAUUAAUAUUUAUGGAUAAUACUUCUCCAUAUAAAUUAUUAGGGGUAGAAUGGGUAGGAUUAGGAUGGGUGGGGCUACAAUGAUGUAAUUUAUUAGGGGUAGAAUGGGUAGGAUUAGGGUGGGUUAGGGUUAGGGUUAGGUUAGAGUUAGGGUUAGGAAAGAAGAGGAUUUCCCAGACUAGGACCCUAUGGGUCCCAAUCUGGGUUGUGCACGGUCCAUCACUCCACUGGGUUAGGAAAGAAGAGGAUUUCCCAGACUAGGACCCUAUGGGUCCCAAUCUGGGUUGUGCACGGUCCAUCACUCCACUGGUCACCCCCAAAUCACACAAAGACCAAGAGAGGUCACAGCAGCCGGACUGUUAAGGGCUAUUCAUAGGGCUAUUGAGGCCAGGGCUGUCAAGUUUAGGGCUGUUGAGGCCAGGGCUGUUAAAUUCAGGUCUGUUUGAGUUUAGGUCUGGUUAAGUUUAGGUUUGGUUAAGUUUAGGUCUGGUUAAGUUUAGGUUUGGUUAAGUUUAGGUCUGGUUAAGUUUAGGUUUGUCCAGGAUGGGUGUGUAAGAUUCCAGUCCAAACCCGGGGUAGGUUUAGGUUUUAGUAUGAUGAGUUGGUUUUGGUUUGGUUUUAUGCUGAGGUUGAAAUCAGGUGGAUCUCCUAAGUUUCAUUUAGACCCCUUG